GACGUAGGAUGCAAGCGUUGUCCGGAAUUAUUGGGCGUAAAGAGUUCGUAGGCGGUUACUUAAGUCUGGUGUUAAAGACGGGAGCUCAACUCCCGCAUGGCAUUGGAAACUGGGUGGCUAGAGUGUGGUAGAGGUCUCGGGAAUUCCAGGUGUAGCGGUGAAAUGCGUAGAUAUCUGGAGGAACACCGGUGGCGAAAGCGCGAGACUGGGCCAUAACUGACGCUGAGGAACGAAAGCCAGGGGAGCGAAAGGG
RNAcentral lists this ribosomal RNA (253 nucleotides) under uncultured bacterium. RNAcentral's name for it is "partial 16S ribosomal RNA". It matches the Rfam family "Bacterial small subunit ribosomal RNA", at positions 524 to 776 of the family's 1533-position model. The record is from RNAcentral.